CCUACGGGAGGCUGCAGUGGGGAAUAUUGCACAAUGGGGGAAACCCUGAUGCAGCGACGCCGCGUGAGUGAAGAAGUAAUUCGUUACGUAAAGCUCUAUCAGCAGGGGAGAAAAUGACGGUACCUGAGUAAGAAGCCCCGGCGAACUACGUGCCAGCAGCCGCGGUAAUACGUAGGGGGCAAGCGUUAUCCGGAUUUACUGGGUGUAAAGGGAGCGUAGACGGUGGGCCAAGUCUGGAGUGAAAUGCCGCGGCUUAACUGCGGUACUGCGUUGGAAAUUGGCGAACUAGAGUGCGGGAGGGGUAAGCGGAAUUCCUAGUGUAGCGGUGAAAUGCGUAGAUAUUAGGAGGAACACCGGUGGCGAAGGCGGCUUACUGGACCGUAACUGACGUUGAGGCGCGAAAGCGUGGGGAGCAAACAGGAUUAGAUACCCUGGUAGUC
RNAcentral lists this ribosomal RNA (440 nucleotides) under uncultured bacterium. RNAcentral describes it as "partial 16S ribosomal RNA". It matches the Rfam family "Bacterial small subunit ribosomal RNA", at positions 338 to 795 of the family's 1533-position model. The record is from RNAcentral.